This 329-nucleotide ribosomal RNA is filed under the name uncultured eukaryote. Its description in RNAcentral is "partial 18S ribosomal RNA". It matches the Rfam family "Eukaryotic small subunit ribosomal RNA", at positions 1470 to 1796 of the family's 1831-position model. The record is from RNAcentral.
CCCUUAGAUGUUCUGGGCCGCACGCGCGCUACACUGAUGCGUUCAACGAGUAUACAACCUUGAUCGAUAGGUCUGGGUAAUCUUGUGAAUGCGCAUCGUGCUAGGGAUAGAUUGUUGCAAUUUUCAAUCUUGAACGAGGAAUUCCUAGUAAACGCAAGUCAUCAGCUUGCAUUGAUUACGUCCCUGCCCUUUGUACACACCGCCCGUCGCACCUACCGAUUGAAUGGUCCGGUGAAAUCUUCGGAUUGAGACUUUGAUUUCUUCACGGAAAACGCUGUUUUAAGAAGUUGAUUAAACCUUACCAUUUAGAGGAAGGUGAAGUCGUAACA